Molecule: ribosomal RNA, 219 nt
Filed under: uncultured bacterium
Lineage: Bacteria
Description: partial 16S ribosomal RNA
Rfam family: Bacterial small subunit ribosomal RNA
Source: RNAcentral
GACGAACGCUGGCGGCGUGCUUAACACAUGCAAGUCGAGCGGUAAGGCCCUUUCGGGGGUACACGAGCGGCGAACGGGUGAGUAACACGUGGGUGACCUGCCCUCAGCUCUGGGAUAAGCCUGGGAAACCGGGUCUAAUACUGGAUAUGACUCCAUGACGCAUGUUGGUGGGGUGGAAAGCCUUGUGCGGCUGAGGAUGGGCCCGCGGCCUAUCAGCUU